This 972-nucleotide small RNA is filed under the name Pongo abelii (Sumatran orangutan). Its description in RNAcentral is "retained intron". The record is from RNAcentral. Lineage: Eukaryota; Metazoa; Chordata; Mammalia; Primates; Hominidae.
UGUCUUUACAGGUGCUGGGCUGUGCUGUGGAGCUCCCUGAUGUCAGCUGCAAGCGGUUUCUGGAUCAGCUAAUUGGAUUCUUUAAUUUUUACAAUGGACCUGUUUCCCUAGCUUAUGGGAAUUGUUCUCAGGAAGAACUGAGCACGGAGUGGGACACCUUCAUCGAACAAAUUCUGAAAAACACCAGUGAUCUGCAUAAGAUUUUCAAUUCCCUCUGGAACUUGGACCAAACUAAAGUGGAGCCCCUGUUGUUGCUGAAGGCAGCCCGCAUUCUGCAGACCUGCCAGCGCUCGCCUCACAUUCUUGCUGGCUGCAUCCUCUAUAAAGGACUGAUUGUCAGCACCCAGCUCCCGCCCUCCCUCACCGCCAAGGUCCUGCUUCACCGAACAGCACCUCAGGAGCAGUACCACAGCAGCCUGGCGUCGCUGAAUGGGCUGGAAGUCCACCUGAAAGAGACGCUGCCCAGGGAUGAGGCAGCCUCCACAAGCAGCACCUACAACUUCACACAUUACGACCGCAUUCAGAGCUUGCUGAUGGCAAACCUGCCGCAGGUGGCCACCCCGCAGGAUCGCCGCUUCCUCCAGGCCGUCAGCCUGAUGCAUAGCGAAUUUGCCCAGCUGCCCGCGCUUUAUGAAAUGACUGUCAGGCUUCUUGUCACUUCAUGUCACACCCACUCCUGUCCUUCACUCCCCCUUAGUCUAUCCAGCCACCCCCAGUGUGGAGAGCAGACUAGAUUCCUUUCUCGGACACUGUCAUUGCGUCGUCAUAGAGGCAGGGCAGCCCCAGCUACUCACUCUGAGCCUCAGGGUCCUCGUCUGUGAAAUGGGACCAUACCACCACUGCAGAGCUCAUGUGAGGGGCAAAGCAGAGACUGUAUGCAGAGCACAUUGCAUAGCUGCCAGUAUAUCAAGAAAGCCGGCACUCCACAGUUCCUUUAUGCAGUACUUAUAACUCCAGGCUCUGUGGCUGCUG